Molecule: ribosomal RNA, 471 nt
Filed under: uncultured bacterium
Lineage: Bacteria
Description: bacterial SSU rRNA
Rfam family: Bacterial small subunit ribosomal RNA
Source: RNAcentral
AGGGUUCGAUCAUGGCUCAGAACGAACGCUGGCGGCAUGCCUAACACAUGCAAGUCGAACGCUAUCUUGUAUAGAGUGGCGCACGGGUGAGUAACGCGUGGGAACCUGCCUUUCUCUGCGGGACAACGGUUGGAAACGACCGCUAAUACCGCAUACGCCCUACGGGGGAAAGGUCAGCCGGAGAAAGAGGGGCCCGCGUUAGAUUAGUUAGUUGGUGGGGUAAUGGCCUACCAAGGCGACGAUCUAUAGCUGGUCUGAGAGGAUGAUCAGCCACACUGGGACUGAGACACGGCCCAGACUCCUACGGGAGGCAGCAGUGGGGAAUAUUGGACAAUGGGGGCAACCCUGAUCCAGCAAUGCCGCGUGUGUGAUGAAGGCCCUAGGGUUGUAAAGCACUUUCACUGGUGAAGAUGAUGACGGUAACCAGAGAAGAAGCCCCGGCUAACUUCGUGCCAGCAGCCGCGGUAAUUC